Molecule: small nuclear RNA, 102 nt
Organism: Rhinolophus ferrumequinum (greater horseshoe bat)
Lineage: Eukaryota; Metazoa; Chordata; Mammalia; Chiroptera; Rhinolophidae
Source: Ensembl
GUGCUCGCUUUGGCAGCACAUGUACAAAAUUGGAACGAUACAGAGAUUAGCAUGGCCCCUGCACAAGGAUGAUAACAAAUUCGUGAAGCAUUCCAUAUUUAA